GGCAGAGGCGCCUCUCCUUUCUCAUUUUCGUUCUCACCUACCUCCUCUCUCUGUUCCAUGGCUAAAACACAAAAACAUCAAAUUCUCCCUACUCAAACAACAACAACAACAACAUCGAUUUUCUCUCUUGCUCUUGGUCGAAAAACAACAACGAAGCUCUCUCUCGGUUAUUUAAUCUCACCGUGAAUCAACAACAAAAGCAAACUUGUUGUCUCUCUCAAUCGGUACUCGUUUCUCACUCGCGGUAACAACAACAACGAAGUUCUUACUCUCGCGGUUCUCUAUCGGUGACUCUCCGCUCAUGUUGAACAACAACAACGAAAUCCGCUAUCGGUUUUGGCUUACGGCAGACAAACAACAACAACUUAUCGCAACUUAAGUGAUGCACCAGAAUAUAUUUACUGUAAAAAUUAACAGUGAUACUGAGAGUGAAAGUUGAAGAUACUUACUUGCGGCAAGGAGAUUUUUGCCGGAUUUUGUUCAGCCCCUAUUUGAUGAAGAUGUUGCAACCUUUUGUUUGGACUUGCGGGAAUACCUUUGGAUAUUUGGGAUGCUCAAAGGUUGAGCUUGUUGGAAGUUGAAGACUUGAAGAUGAAGAUUCAAGCUUGUUGAAGGAUGCUAGUAAGGUAUGAAACACUUACUCCUCUUCUCUCUUUUUUUGUAUCUUGUAGAUGAAGUUCUUACUACUUUCACAAGACUUUUUUUUAUGUGAAAGAAAACUUUGAAGUGUGAGAACUUUGUGUGUGUUCUCCGAUUUCUCUUCAUGUCAUAUUGUGUGUGCCUCUCCUCUAUUUAUAGAGGAAGAAAAUGAGAGAUAAUUUUGGUCAUUUUUGCACCCCAAGAGCUUUAGCUUAGUCUUUAAGGUUACUUAGUGGCAAAGCUUUAAUCAUUACAAAGAAUAUUCUUCAAAAUAAUCAUUACCAAGUAAUCAUUACUAGGCUUUCUUAGUUGUUAAACUUGCUUAGUGGCGAAGUUCCAUAAAUUUGUGCACAUGGGAAUAUGCACAUGGGAUGGAAUAUAUUCUUCAUAAGUCUUGCAUUGUAAAACUUCCACGACACAUACUUCAUUCUAUGUCAAAGUUGGUAACUUCUAUGUGGUAGUUAUGACACAAAAUAUUCCUCUUUGACUUUCUUUGACUUUUUGACUUUUUGACUUUGAUUUUGGGCUUUUGGGCCCUCUUGAAUUAUUUUUGUUAGACUUUUGCUAAUUCCACCCUUUUUGUUUCUUUUUCAUGUGACAUGAGUCUUUGAAGAAAGAAUGAAGAAACUUGGACUUGAAGAGUGAAAGCUUGAAGAUUUGAAGAAUUCAAGAAACUUUGCAUUUUCUUUUAUUCUUGUAAUUCCAAAAGAAUUUGUAUGAACUUGUAUUCUUGGAACUUUGAAUGUAAUCUUGAAUCUUUGGAU
Long non-coding RNA from Vicia villosa (hairy vetch), 1403 nucleotides. RefSeq lists it as uncharacterized. The transcript is spliced from 3 exons. The record is from RefSeq and is a predicted model, not a curated record. Lineage: Eukaryota; Viridiplantae; Streptophyta; Magnoliopsida; Fabales; Fabaceae.